AAUAUUGCGCAAUGGGCGAAAGCCUGACGCAGCCACGCCGCGUGAGCGAUGAAGGUUUUCGGAUCGUAAAGCUCUGUGGGGAGAGAAGAAAAAGGGCAGUGAAGAGCUGUUCAUGACGGUAUCUCCUUAGCAAGCACCGGCUAACUCCGUGCCAGCAGCCGCGGUAAUACGGAGGGUGCUAACGUUGCUCGGAAUCAUUGGGCGUAAAGCGCGCGUAGGCGGUUUGUCAAGUUGGAUGUGAAAGCCCUGGGCUCAACCUGGGAAGUGCAUCCAAAACUGGCAGACUUGAAUCUCGGAGGGGGCCAGAGAAUUCCCGGUGUAGAGGUGAAAUUCGUAGAUAUCGGGAGGAAUACCAGUGGCGAAGGCGCUGGCCUGGACGAAGAUUGACGCUGAGGCGCGAAAGCGUGGGUAGCAAACAGGAUUAGAUACCCUGGUAGUCCACGCCGUA
RNAcentral lists this ribosomal RNA (448 nucleotides) under uncultured marine bacterium. RNAcentral describes it as "bacterial SSU rRNA". It matches the Rfam family "Bacterial small subunit ribosomal RNA", at positions 360 to 804 of the family's 1533-position model. The record is from RNAcentral.